Molecule: small RNA, 827 nt
Filed under: Histoplasma capsulatum
Lineage: Eukaryota; Fungi; Ascomycota; Eurotiomycetes; Onygenales; Ajellomycetaceae
Also listed under: 1 other name
Description: hypothetical RNA
Source: RNAcentral
GCCAAUCUAUCUACCACUGCUAAUCUAUGCCGCUGCCAAUCUACCUACCGCUGCCAAUCUACCUACCGCUGCCAAUCUAUCUACCACUGCUAAUCUAUCACUUCUAAUCUAUCGCUGCUAAUCUAUUGCUGCUAAUCUAUCGCUGCUAAUCUAUUGCUGCUAAUCUAUCUAUCACUGCUAAUCUAUUGCUGCCAACCUACCUACCACUGCCAAUCUACCUACCGCUGCCAACCUACCUAUCGCUGCCAACCUACCUACCACUGCUAAUCUAUCGCUGUUAAUCUAUCGCUGCUAAUCUAUCGCUGCUAAUCUAUUGCUGCUAAUCUAUCGCUGCUAAUCUAUUGCUGCUAAUCUAUCGCUGCUAAUCUAUCGCUGCUAAUCUAUUGCUGCUAAUCUAUCUAUCACUGCUAAUCUAUCGCUGCUAAUCUAUCGCUGCCAAUCUAUAUAGGGUAAAUCAUGGUCCCAUUUGGUCCCAUUUUGUAAAAUGAGACCAAAUGGAACUGGGACCACUAAUUUAUUAGUAAAACAUGAUCUGAGACUAGAUUUAUAAUAUAAACAGUGUAAAGUGACUAAUUUACUAAACACUAUAUGGGAUCAGAACUAAGAUAUCUAAUAAUGGGACUGAGGAAAAAUUUGGUCCCAGUCCCAUGCAUGGUCACACAGCCAGUCUAAUUCUAAUCUUCACUGAUGAAUCACUCACUGAAUAUUAUAAAUAUAUACAAUAAAUACUUGACUGUUUAUAAGAAGCAGAACUAUAAGUGAAUAUUGAUAAGUAUAACUUCAAGAUUAAGUCUAUAAUCUAUCUAGAAUUUAUCAUCAAAGCUGAA